UACGAAGGUCCCAAGCGUUAUCCGGAUUUAUUGGGUUUAAAGGGCGCGUAGGCGGGUGUGCAAGUCUGUGGUGAAAGCCUCCAGCUUAACUGGAGAAGUGCCAUGGAUACUGCACAUCUUGAGGAGGGUAGGGGCAUCUGGAACGGUCGGUGGAGCGGUGAAAUGCGUUGAUAUCGACCGGAACUCCGGUGGCGAAGGCGAGGUGCUGGACCCUUUCUGACGCUGAGGCGCGAAAGCCAGGGGAGCAAACGGG
RNAcentral lists this ribosomal RNA (253 nucleotides) under uncultured bacterium. RNAcentral's name for it is "partial 16S ribosomal RNA". It matches the Rfam family "Bacterial small subunit ribosomal RNA", at positions 524 to 776 of the family's 1533-position model. The record is from RNAcentral.